AUUGAACGCUGGCGGCAGGCCUAACACAUGCAAGUCGAACGGUAACAGGGAUCAGCUUGCUGAUUCGCUGACGAGUGGAGGACGGGUGAGUAAUGUCUGGGAAACUGCCUGAUGGAGGGGGAUAACUACUGGAAACGGUAGCUAAUACCGCAUAACGUCGCAAGACCAAAGAGGGGGACCUUCGGGCCUCUUGCCAUCGGAUGUGCCCAGAUGGGAUUAGCUAGUAGGUGGGGUAACGGCUCACCUAGGCGACGAUCCCUAGCUGGUCUGAGAGGAUGACCAGCCACACUGGAACUGAGACACGGUCCAGACUCCUACGGGAGGCAGCAGUGGGGAAUAUUGCACAAUGGGCGCAAGCCUGAUGCAGCCAUGCCGCGUGUAUGAAGAAGGCCUUCGGGUUGUAAAGUACUUUCAGCGGGGAGGAAGGGAGUAAAGUUAAUACCUUUGCUCAUUGACGUUACCCGCAGAAGAAACACCGGCUAACUCCGU
This 489-nucleotide ribosomal RNA is filed under the name uncultured bacterium. RNAcentral's name for it is "partial 16S ribosomal RNA". It matches the Rfam family "Bacterial small subunit ribosomal RNA", at positions 30 to 506 of the family's 1533-position model. The record is from RNAcentral.